ACCUUUUCAUCCAGUGAGGACACAGGGAGAAGAUGGUCAUUAGCGACCAGGAAGAGGGUCCCCCCACCAGAACCCCAUGCUGGCACCUGAUCUCGACUUCCGGCCUCCAGAAAUCUUUGAGAAGCAGAUAGGCUUGAAUGAGCAUGGAAUGUAUCUAUUUAAAAAGCAGCUGGAAGUCUGUCAAGUGCAUUCUGGAAAUGGAUUCAGGCUAACAGAGUGUUCUGAAUAGAGACGCCUAAAACAAGAGCCAAAGACAUAGCAAUGGAGAACGUGGGUGGUACAGCCCUCCACCCUGGCGAGCAGCACAUUAGAAUCACGUAGGAGCUUAAAAAGUACUGACUGGCCUGGUCUUUUUCGGUGUGAAGGUGGGAUGCAGGCUUCCUGGGGUUAUCCUCUCGUACAGCCAGAGUUGAGAACCAUCUGAGUAGCGCUUGUCACACUUCUGGCCACAUCAGAAUCGUCUGAGGGACUUGUUCACUGCAGGUUGCUGGGUCCCAUCUCUAGCCUCUGAUCCAGUAGCCUGGGGUGGGGCACAGGAUGUCCUGCUGCUGGGGUCUGGGCAGCGCUAUGAGAACUGCUGACGUUGGAGCUCGAUCAGGUGGUCCCUCACUCCCUGACCCAGGGCAUUUGCUGCUUCCUGUCUCUGCCAUUCUUUUCUCAACCUGGGGCACUUGCUUUUCUCGCUAUGCUGCCCUGCCCUUUGCUGAGGCCUGGGCUAUCCCUGGCAGGGUGCAGAAAAAAAAUUUUUAAGUUACUUUUCUCAGCCCAAAGGAGACUGGAAUGCUUCACAAGGGAUUCUACUUGACAGGCAAUUGGACCACCCAAAUGGCAAACUAAAAGCAUAGAAGCGGACACCAGAGGCUCCUGGACCUGAGAUGUGGCCCUGGAAGUGACCAGAUGUGGUCUCAAGAGAUGGGGGCCCAGGGCUAGGAAUGCCGCCAUCCGGGGAGGCCCUAGAGCAGAGCAGAGCAGCUGUGGGCUGGUGCCAAGCUCACUCCUGCUUCUCUCUGCACGUCUCCCUCAUUCUUUUCUCUCUGAACUGUGACCCUUUUGGCCCCUCUGAGUACCAGGUGGGACAAGGUGACCCCUCAGCACUUGAGUUUACACCUUAGAUGUGUAGGUCCUCACAGAGGCCAACUUAUCUCCUUCUGGGACCAAAUUCCAAAUUCCUAAAGAAAAAACAAACCAAAAACGGAUAUGAUAAACCUAUCUCAGUGGUCAGCCCCUGGGGCGCAAACAUUCCCCUGAGUCAGGGAAGGGUGACUGUAACACAGGUAUCAUUAUGAUUUAGGUGUGGCAAGACUAGCAGGUCAGGGGUGCCUGCCAUUGAAAAGACUGUCAUACAGUUCCCAGGUGGAAGGGGUGUGCCAGGAGGGGCAGCCAGAAGGCAGAUGGAGGGAAGCUGCCUUUAUGGUGUUUCUGCUGGGAGGCACAGGUGCGGUGGAGGAAGCAGGCUUAGGAUUGGUUCGUGUGAAUGUCUUCAGUGGGCUCUGGUUAUCUGGUACCUGGCCCGGGGUGAUGAGGGUAGAUAGAGGCCCAGAAGGUGAGAGCCUAAUACCCAGAGCGGUCGGGGGGGUGGGUAGGCUCAGGGCUGGUUGGUUUGGGAAGCAUGUUUGUGGGCCCGUUGGUUACCGUCUCAAGGAAUGGGCUAGGCCUGGGUGUGGCUGUCCUUCUAGGAUCAGCAAGGCAGCAAAUAUCAAAGCACCAGAAUACACAAAGUAAAAGACUGCAUUAAUACAGGGUAGUUUACAAAGAAAUGGGAAAUUGUUGGUUCUGAGCUGGGUGGGGAUUGAAACGGUGUUCCCUGCAGAUCCAUUUAAAGUCUCUCUGUAAAUACGCGUUGGUGUGUAACUGUUCCUUGUCUCUAACCUCAGCCAGCCCCUCCCAUGCCAGGUGAGGGGUCUUCCCACCUCCCUUUUCCUCUCUGGGUGUCCCUCCAUUAUGAUCUGGGGACCAAGGCUGGCUGUAGCAGUGUGCCUCCAUGGCCUAGGGCGGUUGGCAAAUGCAAUUUCUUCGGCAGUGCUGGAUAAAGUGGGAUGAUGCAGUGACCACACAGAAUGUCAUUUCUGAUGAAAGCUGGCAUGCCAGCCCGUGACAGGACACAGAGGAGCGUGGAUUCCCCUUCAUGGUUGACUUCAGCCAAGGCCAUCAUCCCCGCUGCCAAAGCCUGCCCUGAUUGCCUGCCCUGGGGGAGAGAAGUGUUUUGAAGAUGACAAAUCAAAGUCAGGUCCUGCAUGGAGUUUGCGUGCCUGACAGCCUGGCUAGCACAGGAGGACAUGCAGGUGGAAUUUGUGCAAGCCUGUUAUUUUCUGUAACACAAUACACACUGAGAAGGCAAUGGGUACCUUGGACCCUGCAGGCCAAUUCAAGCACCAUCACUACUUUUCAGAAGUGUGGGGCAUAGAUGUCAACUGAGCCUAGCAAGAUGUCCUAUGUUACCAAGAGACUAUUAGAAAGCAGAGCAGGUCUCAAGAUUCAAUGAAACAAUUGCCUGGAAGCUGGAAGAUAAUAUGGAAGCUAGGGAUAUAAUAGAGUAUGUUGCUGGGAACGGUGGCUCCUGCCUGUAAUCGCAGCACUUUGGGAGGCUGAGGUAGGGGGGAUCACUUGAGCCCAGGAGUUGGAGGCCAGCCUGGGCAACACAGCAAGACCCCAUUUCUAUAAAUAAUUAAAAAAAAAAUUAGCUGGGUGUUGUGGUGCAUGCCUGUAUUCUUAACUACUCCAGAGGCUGAGGUGGGAGGAUGGCUUGAGUCCAGAAGUUCAAGGUUACAGUGAACUACGAUUGAGCCACACUGCAUUCCAGCUGGGUAACAGAGGGAGACUCUGUCUCUAAAAAAAAAAAUUAAAAAAAAAGUAGGGUGGGUGGUUGAGGGUUGUGCAGUGUGAGUGAGGGUGGCCAGAAAAACCAUUUCCGUGACAGUUACAAAGGCUGUGUGUGGAUGGUGACGCUGAG
RNAcentral lists this long non-coding RNA (2950 nucleotides) under Homo sapiens (human). RNAcentral's name for it is "PREDICTED lncRNA (TCONS_00150081)". The record is from RNAcentral. Lineage: Eukaryota; Metazoa; Chordata; Mammalia; Primates; Hominidae.